UACGUAGGGUGCAAGCGUUGUCCGGAAUUAUUGGGCGUAAAGAGCUCGUAGGCGGUCUUAUAAGUCAGUGGUGAAAUACGGCAGCUCAACUGUCGAGGUGCCAUUGAUACUGUAGGACUUGAGUACAGACGAGGUAGGCGGAAUUGACGGUGUAGCGGUGAAAUGCUUAGAUAUCGUCAAGAACACCGAUAGCGAAGGCAGCUUACUAGGCUGUAACUGACGCUGAGGCACGAAAGUGUGGGGAUCAAACAGG
This 253-nucleotide ribosomal RNA is filed under the name uncultured bacterium. RNAcentral's name for it is "partial 16S ribosomal RNA". It matches the Rfam family "Bacterial small subunit ribosomal RNA", at positions 524 to 776 of the family's 1533-position model. The record is from RNAcentral.